AGCUCCAAUAGCGUAUAUUAAAGUUGUUGCAGUUAAAAAGCUCGUAGUUGGAUUUCUGAUUUGAAUUGCCGGUCGAAUUCAUGUAUUUGAAUUCCGUACUAUGGUAAUUUGAAUCAUUUUUUGUGAGGAGAUUUUACUGUCAUUAAGUUGAUGGUUUAAUCGACUUGCAUCUUUUACUGUGAAAAAAUUAGAGUGUUUAAAGCAGGCGUUUGCCUAAAUAUUGAAUACAUUAGCAUGGAAUAAUAAAAUACGACUUUGGUGGUCUAUUUUGUUGGUUUGCACACCAGAGUAAUGAUUAAUAGGGACAGUUGGGGGUAUUCAUAUUUCAACGUCAGAGGUGAAAUUCUUGGAUCGUUGAAAGAUGAGCUUAGGCGAAAGCAUUUACCAAGGAUGUUUUCAUUA
Molecule: ribosomal RNA, 402 nt
Filed under: Halodaphnea sp.
Lineage: Eukaryota; Oomycota; Peronosporomycetes; Pythiales; Haliphthoraceae
Description: partial small subunit ribosomal RNA
Rfam family: Eukaryotic small subunit ribosomal RNA
Source: RNAcentral